CAUGCAAGUCGAGGGGCAGCGGGGAGGUAGCAAUACCUUUGCCGGCGACCGGCGCACGGGUGAGUAACACGUAUGCAAUCCGCCUGUAACAGGGGGAUAACCCGGAGAAAUCCGGACUAAUACCCCAUAAUAUGGGCGCUCCGCAUGGAGAGUUCAUUAAAGAGAGCAAUUUUGGUUACAGACGAGCAUGCGCUCCAUUAGCCAGUUGGCGGGGUAACGGCCCACCAAAGCGAUGAUGGAUAGGGGUUCUGAGAGGAAGGUCCCCCACAUUGGAACUGAGACACGGUCCAAACUCCUACGGGAGGCAGCAGUGAGGAAUAUUGGUCAAUGGUCGGCAGACUGAACCAGCCAAGUCGCGUGAGGGAAGACGGCCCUACGGGUUGUAAACCUCUUUUGUCGGAGAGUAAAGUACGCUACGCGUAGCGUAUUGCAAGUAUCCGAAGAAAAAGCAUCGGCUAACUCCGUGCCAGCAGCCGCGGUAAUACGGAGGAUGCGAGCGUUAUCCGGAUUUAUUGGGUUUAAAGGGUGCGUAGGCGGCACGCCAAGUCAGCGGUGAAAUUUCCGGGCUCAACCCGGAGUGUGCCGUUGAAACUGGCGAGCUAGAGUGCACAAGAGGCAGGCGGAAUGCGUGGUGUAGCGGUGAAAUGCAUAGAUAUCACGCAGAACCCCGAUUGCGAAGGCAGCCUGCUAGGGUGCGACAGACGCUGAGGCACGAAAGCGUGGGUAUCGAACAGGAUUAGAUACCCUGGUAGUCCACGCAGUAAACGAUGAAUACUAACUGUUUGCGAUACAAUGUAAGCGGUACAGCGAAAGCGUUAAGUAUUCCACCUGGGGAGUACGCCGGCAACGGUGAAACUCAAAGGAAUUGACGGGGGCCCGCACAAGCGGAGGAACAUGUGGUUUAAUU
Molecule: ribosomal RNA, 907 nt
Filed under: uncultured bacterium
Lineage: Bacteria
Description: bacterial SSU rRNA
Rfam family: Bacterial small subunit ribosomal RNA
Source: RNAcentral